GACGAACGCUGGCGGCGUGCCUAAUACAUGCAAGUCGAACGCUUCUUUUUCACCGAACUUCGGUUCAUCGAAAAAGAGGAGUGGCGAACGGGUGAGUAACACGUGGGUAACCUGCCCAUCAGAAGGGGAUAACACUUGGAAACAGGUGCUAAUACCGUAUAAUGCUUUUUCUCGCAUGAGAGCAAGCUGAAAGGCGCUUUUGCGUCACUGAUGGAUGGACCCGCGGUGCAUUAGCUAGUUGGUGAGGUAACGGCUCACCAAGGCCACGAUGCAUAGCCGACCUGAGAGGGUGAUCGGCCACACUGGGACUGAGACACGGCCCAGACUCCUACGGGAGGCAGCAGUAGGGAAUCUUCGGCAAUGGACGAAAGUCUGACCGAGCAACGCCGCGUGAGUGAAGAAGGUUUUCGGAUCGUAAAAACUCUGG
RNAcentral lists this ribosomal RNA (427 nucleotides) under Enterococcus sp. oral taxon A43. RNAcentral describes it as "bacterial SSU rRNA". It matches the Rfam family "Bacterial small subunit ribosomal RNA", at positions 28 to 436 of the family's 1533-position model. Lineage: Bacteria; Bacillati; Bacillota; Bacilli; Lactobacillales; Enterococcaceae. The record is from RNAcentral.